This is a long non-coding RNA of Quercus robur (English oak), 971 nucleotides long. RefSeq lists it as uncharacterized. The transcript has 2 exons. The record is from RefSeq and is a predicted model, not a curated record. Lineage: Eukaryota; Viridiplantae; Streptophyta; Magnoliopsida; Fagales; Fagaceae.
ACCCUUUGUUUUCACUGUUUCAACCUUCUGUUUUUAAAUUCCUUUUGUUGCACGGUUUAAAGCUCCUCUCUCCCCACGUUUUGUUUCACAUUCCUUCCCCUUCCUCACUUUCUGUUCUACGGUUUCACAUUUACUUCACGCCAGCCUCUCUCCCUUCUAGCGGCAAUCUCUCUGUCUUCCUUCCUUCCUGCCUUUCUCUCCUCACAGUCUAUAAAUAUUGAUAGAAGUUGGUUCAAAGCAUAAAAGCCCUAGAACCAUCCGUAAACCAAAAUCUACAAUUUGAUUUUUAUUUUCAUUUUACUUUCUACUUCUAAUUUGUUUUGUGUUUUCUUCAGUUCAGGUAUAUCUUUCUUUUUUGGUUUUCAGGAAACAGAAGUCUCUUCUCACGAAAGCUUGCAGCAAGUAGUCGUCCUAGCACAGAUUCUGAUAUGUGGUAUUGACAACUUUCAUCGUGAUUUAAUGGUUGGGUUGGUGCACACGAAAGCUUCUUAGAGAGCAACUUGGCCAUUGUUGGUGGCAAUGAUUAGUGAGGAUGGUUGUGACUUGUAAGGCGAUUGGAGCAGCAGUAUUCCAUAUUACCUUUCUGUCACUCUAAAUUUCUUGCUUAAGGUAACAAAAGGUUUCCACCUUCUAUUGGGUGUGAAAGGAGUGUGGGCUGUUUUUUUUUUUUUUUGGAUGGGUUUUCCCAACUCUUUCAUGUUAGAGUUUAUUGCAUUGAUAUUAGCAAUGGUCAUGAAUUUUUUUGGGGGGAGGGUUUGUGUAUAAUAUGAUUGAUAAAAUUCCUCAAUGAAUGAGUGGUACUGGAAUAUAUAUAUAUAUAUAUAUAUAUAUAUGAAAAAGGAGUUGUAGCUGUAGUUUCCUUUAUUUAAAUUUUUGUUUGUUAGCCCUCCAAGGAGGUUAAAUUUAAUCUCAAACCAUUGAUAUUGAACCGUACUUUUAUAUUGUUAUAUUAUUUUGUUUUGAAAGUUUAA